Molecule: ribosomal RNA, 506 nt
Filed under: uncultured bacterium
Lineage: Bacteria
Description: partial 16S ribosomal RNA
Rfam family: Bacterial small subunit ribosomal RNA
Source: RNAcentral
AGUGAACGCUGGCGGUAGGCCUAACACAUGCAAGUCGAACGGCAGCACAGGAGAGCUUGCUCUCUGGGUGGCGAGUGGCGGACGGGUGAGGAAUACAUCGGAAUCUACUUUUUCGUGGGGGAUAACGUAGGGAAACUUACGCUAAUACCGCAUACGACCUACGGGUGAAAGCAGGGGACCUUCGGGCCUUGCGCGAUUGAAUGAGCCGAUGUCGGAUUAGCUAGUUGGCGGGGUAAAGGCCCACCAAGGCGGCGAUCCGUAGCUGGUCUGGGAGGAGGAUCAGCCACACUGGAACUGAGACACGGUCCAGACUCCUACGGGAGGCAGCAGUGGGGAAUAUUGGACAAUGGGCGCAAGCCUGAUCCAGCCAUACCGCGUGGGUGAAGAAGGCCUUCGGGUUGUAAAGCCCUUUUGUUGGGAAAGAAAUCCAGCUGGCUAAUACCCGGUUGGGAUGACGGUACCCAAAGAAUAAGCACCGGCUAACUUCGUGCCAGCCGCCGCCGUAA